UCUACAUGCUUUCAGGCUGAUAUUGGAUAACCAUCCAGGGGGCUCAUCUCAGGAGAAGACUAAUUUUGAUGGGAUCAUCUCACAUUUGGAGGAAGUGAGGUACAAUGUCUCGCUCAGAAAAUAAUAGGAAAUGGCUGAUGUCGAGAGGCUAUGGGAAUGCAGAGCUUACAAAGGCCGAGGAUUUCAGCUCUCUCAGCAGCAGAGGGGUACUUAGCCACUCAAUCCAAAGGAUGGAAACUCAGAGAAUGUGACCUUUACCUUAAAAUUCAAAACACAUGUGAACUUGAAAUGGUAAAAACCCUAAUAGUGAUCAUGACCUCCACGAUGUCCACACUCUAAGCCUUGCAUUGCUUCUAGUAUGGCAGAGGGAAGUGGACACCUGGGGUGAGGAGAAUGCCAAGCAAUCGAUCCAGGUGGUCCAAAGCUGCCUCGUGAGACCCUUUCGCACCCGCCAAACACAGCUUCACACGGGGAAGAACAUGAGCCUUGAGGAUGGAGGAAAGAGCCACAGAGCCGAGGACCCACAGCUUCCAGAAACUGGGAAGAAACUGGGCGGUUGUGGUGCAUGCCUUUAAUCCCAGCAUUAAAGAGGAAUAUAAGACGGGAGGAGACGGCUUACAGUCUUAUUCUGAGAUCCCUGGAGGCUGGAUUGCCGUUUCGGACUGAAGUAGAGUGUUAUUCUUAAAAAACGAUGAGAGCGCUGCAAACGGUCCCCGGGCGGGCUGGCGGAGCCUGCCAUGGGAGAGCGGCUACAGGAGGGCACGCUUCCUUGGCCCACGGUGGCGGCAGGUAACAGACACGUAAACACAGGAAAUAGCCAUAAGUAUUUAUUAAGAAAGGGGGAGA
Long non-coding RNA from Alexandromys fortis (reed vole), 846 nucleotides. RefSeq lists it as uncharacterized. The transcript is spliced from 4 exons. The record is from RefSeq and is a predicted model, not a curated record. NCBI's taxonomy places the organism in Eukaryota, Metazoa, Chordata, Mammalia, Rodentia, Cricetidae.